AGUCUUGUAUGGGAAGUUGAAAACUCCUGCAACCUACAAUUACAGUACCCCACCCUAUUUUCACCUUCCCACCCUCUUCAAAUCUUGGCCUCACUUCUCUCUCUCUCUCCCUCUAAGAAACUGGCCGGCCACCACCACGGGCGGCGGAGCCACGAUGGUGGUGUGGCGGCGAUGGGAAAAGACAACAAAGCGUGCGGCGUUUCGGUGGAGGUAGGGGUCGCGGCGGUGCGUGCGAGGAGAUGGUAGGGGUGGUUCUGGAUUUCAUGGGUGAAUCGGUGGGGGGUGUGGCAGUUGUUUUGGCUUGGGUGCAGGAGGUUCAGGGCUGGCGUCACUGUGUUGGGCGAUGGGCUGGCGUCGAGCCACUGAGAAAUGAGGCAGGGCAGCGGGCUGUGGUGGUUGGCGUUGGGCAUUUUGUCAGCAGAUAGCAGCAGCAGCAGUGGCAGCGACAUCCAACGACAGAGCCGUUUUCCGGCGACUGUUGCCGGUGGCGGUGGGAUUCCACAGUAGAGCUCCGGGUCUUGGCUUCGGAGCUUCGUUCGGGUUCGAUACAGGAUCAACUUGGUCAGAUCCAUUCUGGUUCGGGCUACGGUUUGCUCGGUUCACAGAUUUGGUUCAGUUCAUUGCAGAUGCAGUCAACGGUUGGGUCUUGUUCCGGUCAAGGCAGUUGAACAGAGGGCUCCGUUCAGUCAAGUUCGGGUCACGGUUCUGAUUUCGGGUUGGUUUAACUCGGUCAAACAUAUUCAACUCAGUCAAAAGGCAGUCAGUGGUUUGGUCAACUGGUCAACACGGGUCAAACCCGGUCAACGCAGUCAAAACUCAGUCAAAUGAAGAUCCGUUGCACGCUAGCUACUUCACGUUCUUGGAACGACACUACGGAAUCACACUAAGCUAGCUUUGUACAGGAAUACCUAGAGGCUCUCCACCGACAAAGAAAACAAGUCACCCGCUUCUUUCGUUUUCUCACCUUUGUCAAACGAGACGAAUCCAAAGUCACCUAAUUUGACGGAUCCUUUCUACUCGCUUUUCACGUACAACGUCGGUCUCCUAGGCUCUGAUAUCAAAUGUUGGUUCAGGCCCCUCAACACACUAGCAAUGCACUCAGAAACUUAUGUAUGUAUGUAGUGUGUAUAUGAAGAUUAUUUGUAAAAGAAAUAUGAAGGAAAAAUUGCUUCUGUUACGAAAGAAGAAAAUGGGUACAAAAGAAAAGAACUCUAUCAUAUCCUAUUUAUAAUAAAGAAAACAAAUAAAAUGCAUGUGCAGAAUUAUUAAAAGGAGCUCCACUCUCCAUGAAAUCAUCAACAAACUGCAGCCCUAUUUUCAAUCACGUGUACAAAAAACUUGCAACUGAUAUAUUUGACCAAGACCGAGUCCACUGCCCGUUUGAUGACCCGGAAUCCAUAUGUUGGACCCAUGACUCGAUAGGCCGAUAUUGUGCUGACUUGUGACCCGUA
This is a long non-coding RNA of Helianthus annuus (common sunflower), 1451 nucleotides long. RefSeq lists it as uncharacterized. Lineage: Eukaryota; Viridiplantae; Streptophyta; Magnoliopsida; Asterales; Asteraceae. The transcript has 4 exons. The record is from RefSeq and is a predicted model, not a curated record.